RNAcentral lists this ribosomal RNA (194 nucleotides) under uncultured Geobacteraceae bacterium. RNAcentral's name for it is "partial 16S ribosomal RNA". It matches the Rfam family "Bacterial small subunit ribosomal RNA", at positions 338 to 524 of the family's 1533-position model. The record is from RNAcentral. Lineage: Bacteria; Pseudomonadati; Thermodesulfobacteriota; Desulfuromonadia; Geobacterales; Geobacteraceae.
CCUACGGGAGGCAGCAGUGGGGAAUUUUGCGCAAUGGGGGAAACCCUGACGCAGCAACGCCGCGUGAGUGAUGAAGGCCUUCGGGUCGUAAAGCUCUGUCAGAAGGGAAGAAAUGAGCUUGGCUAAUAUCCAGGUUUCUUGACGGUACCUUCAAAGGAAGCACCGGCUAACUCCGUGCCAGCAGCCGCGGUAAU